This 464-nucleotide ribosomal RNA is filed under the name uncultured bacterium. Its description in RNAcentral is "bacterial SSU rRNA". It matches the Rfam family "Bacterial small subunit ribosomal RNA", at positions 32 to 506 of the family's 1533-position model. The record is from RNAcentral.
AUCAACGCUGGCGGCGUGCCUAACACAUGCAAGUCGAACGAGAAAGUGGCAGACGGGUGAGUAAUGCAUGGGUAACCUACCCUCAGGUGGGGAAUAACUCCUCGAAAGGGGAGCUAAUGCCGACGAUAUCCACCAGCCUCAUAAGAGGUUGGUGGAAAGCCGAACCGAGGGUUCGGCGCCUGAGGAUGGGCUCAUGUCCUAUCAGCUUGUUGGCGGGGUAAUGGCCAACCAAGGCUGCGACGGGUAGCUGGUCUGAGAGGACGACCAGCCACACUGGCACUGCGACACGGGCCAGACUCCUACGGGAGGCAGCAGUGAGGAAUCUUGCGCAAUGGGCGAAAGCCUGACGCAGCGACGCCGCGUGGGGGAUGAAGGCCUUCGGGUUGUAAACCCCUUUCAGGAGGGAAGAUGGGACGGGCAACCGUUCGGACGGUACCUUCAGAAGCAGCCACGGCUAACUCUGU